RNAcentral lists this ribosomal RNA (497 nucleotides) under uncultured bacterium. RNAcentral describes it as "partial 16S ribosomal RNA". It matches the Rfam family "Bacterial small subunit ribosomal RNA", at positions 28 to 507 of the family's 1533-position model. The record is from RNAcentral.
GAUGAACGCUGGCGGCGUGCCUAAUACAUGCAAGUCGAGCGAACAGACGAGGAGCUUGCUCCUCUGACGUUAGCGGCGGACGGGUGAGUAACACGUGGAUAACCUACCUAUAAGACUGGGAUAACUUCGGGAAACCGGAGCUAAUACCGGUUAUUUUUUUAAACCGCAUGUUUCAUUAUUGAAAGACGGUUUUGUUUUCAUUUUUGAUUGGUUCCGCGCCGCAUUAGCUAGUUGGUAAGGUAACGGCUUACCAAGGCAACGAUGCGUAGCCGACCUGAGAGGGUGAUCGGCCACACUGGAACUGAGACACGGUCCAGACUCCUACGGGAGGCAGCAGUAGGGAAUCUUCCGCAAUGGGCGAAAGCCUGACGGAGCAACGCCGCGUGAGUGAUGAAGGUCUUCGGAUCGUAAAACUCUGUUAUUAGGGAAGAACAAAUGUGUAAGUAACUAUGCACGUCUUGACGGUACCUAAUCAGAAAGCCACGGCUAACUACGUG